This is a long non-coding RNA of Mya arenaria, 1618 nucleotides long. RefSeq lists it as uncharacterized. The transcript is spliced from 3 exons. NCBI's taxonomy places the organism in Eukaryota, Metazoa, Mollusca, Bivalvia, Myida, Myidae. The record is from RefSeq and is a predicted model, not a curated record.
CUUUCACUUUCACUUUGAUCUUGUUAUGUAUAUGCAUAUGAUCAAUUUAUUAAAGAGGAAGGCAAAGCUUUAAUGAUUUUUGCAUUUAUACAUUUUCCCCUUUUUGCCCUUUUACGACGCGAUUUUCCCCUCCUGACGGGCCCUGGCCCCAUUCCCCUAAAAGUGAAAAAAAAACACUGUCAUGUAUAACAGUUUAUAUCAUUAUGUUUUGACAGUAUGAAAUGAAGAAAAACACUCAUCAAACUCAUCAUAAUUCGUCAGCUUUUAUUUUUUGUGUACAUAACUCAUAUUUUAGAUAUAUAUAAUUAUCUGACCCGGAAUCCCAAUCGGAAUAGCUACCCACUUUUGGUACAAAAAAUUGUAUGUGAAGGAUAUGCCAUUUCAAAAUUUGUAAAAAGAUCAGUUAAGUUACUAUUAUUUGGACUAGUGCUUCAAGUGUUUGAUUUAUUGUCUCUAUAAUGUAUAAUGCACCUGUCAAUUGUAGAGCCAAGCUGGGAGCUGCCUAAAAAUCAGUUACCCAGUUAGCUCAGUUUGACAGAUCUCCAUGCAAGUGUUCACAUGGUCGUGGGUUCAAGCACCAUACCAGUAGCAUCUUUUCUCAAAGGUUUACUUUAGAACCCAUCAUCCAGGAGUAAACAAUUAUGAUUUUUUUAUUAAAUAUUACAGGCCAUGUUCUUUUGUAAACUUUCAGAUUGAGAAGUGCCUGGAUACAAGGCUAGUAUUGUUAACAUCAUCUGAUACAAUCAACUGGAACAAAGCUGAAAUGGCUGCCUGACCUGACUUAAAAAUUGGAUGGCAGUACAUCAGACUAGAAGAUUACAAGUAUUGAGGUGGACAAAAUAAAACCUGAGCCUACCAAAGCUGACAGAUUGCACAAGAAACACAUAAAUGCAGAUUGGAAGAUUCAUUCUCUGGAAAGUAGAAAAGGGCAUGUUACAUACUGUUAUCACUGCCAUGACAGAAACCAUAUUGAGGAGCUGGUCCACCUGUAGGAAGAAUUGCGCUAUUGGUUGGAGUGGCACUAUUACCAAGCCAUACACCAGCACUUAGUUUGUCAUAGGGAGCAUUUCUGAGCAGUUAUGGAGACCACUAACUAUGCAGUUGUUGCAGUGAAACUUGCACCAGUGUGUUUUCUGUGGAGAUAAAGAGAUAGUGUCCAGCAAUGAAGACCCAACUCAAGAUCUGACCUUGUAAGGCCAAUAUGAAAUAACUGUAUGGGAAAAUGGGAAAAACCUGCAGUCAGGAAUGUACGGAAAUCAUCAAAAGAGCAGUGUUAAAUUAAUCUUGAAUAACUUGACAUUUAUUUUGUUUGACAUAUUUAUUCAUGGUGCAGUGGAAACAUUCUUUUUUUCUCAUGGUUAUUUAAAUUUAGAAUUGAUAGGAGGGAACAUCACUAUGUAGUUUUAUGUUCAUAGUCAGAUCAAAACCCAUGUACAUGCCCAAAUGAGCAUUCGAAAAUAUCAAAAUGGUACUUGUUGUAUGUAGUGUAAGUUAAUUAACAUAAUAAACAAAAAUAUUUAAUCAAUUUCAAUUUAUUAUGCCCCUUUCAAAGAAGAGGAGUAUAUUGCUUUGCACAUGUUGGCCGCUACGUCCGUCUGUCUGACAGUAGACCAAAGCU